AUUGAACGCUGGCGGCAGGCCUAACACAUGCAAGUCGAGCGAUUUUGGCUUCGGUCAGAAGAGCGGCGAACGGGUGAGUAACACGUAGGAAUCUGCCUGGUAGUGGGGGACAACGUCUCGAAAGGGACGCUAAUACCGCAUACGCCCUACGGGGGAAAGCUGGGGACCUUCGGGCCUAGCGCUAUCAGAUGAGCCUGCGUCGGAUUAGCUAGUUGGUAGGGUAAAGGCCUACCAAGGCGACGAUCCGUAACUGGUCUGAGAGGAUGAUCAGUCACACCGGAACUGAGACACGGUCCGGACUCCUACGGGAGGCAGCAGUGGGGAAUAUUGGACAAUGGGGGCAACCCUGAUCCAGCCAUGCCGCGUGUGUGAAGAAGGCCUUCGGGUUGUAAAGCACUUUAGGUUGGGAGGAAGGUUCCAAGGCUAAUAUCCUUGGGAAUUGACGUUACCGACAGAAUAAGCACCGGCUAACUCCGUGCCAGCAGCCGCGGUAAUACGGAGGGUGCAAGCGUUAAUCGGAAUUACUGGGCGUAAAGCGCGCGUAGGCGGCUUGGUAAGUC
Molecule: ribosomal RNA, 560 nt
Filed under: uncultured bacterium
Lineage: Bacteria
Description: bacterial SSU rRNA
Rfam family: Bacterial small subunit ribosomal RNA
Source: RNAcentral